Molecule: non-coding RNA, 1609 nt
Organism: Dermacentor albipictus
Lineage: Eukaryota; Metazoa; Arthropoda; Arachnida; Ixodida; Ixodidae
Source: RefSeq, a predicted model, not a curated record
AUGCGACACCUAGCGGCAGUAGGGAGAAACGAAAUACGGAGGUCCAGUCGCCGUGUGUGCCGUAGAGGCUGCUGUCGCGGACGGAAGAAUGAAGCUGCUAGCAAAGAAAAAGCGAACGGCCAAGCAGUUCUGCUGUGUUCCUCGGUGCGUGCCAGCGAGAUGGAAGGACAGCGAUAUUUCCGUUCACGCACUUCCCUCCGAGUGGAAAGGCUGAAGCCGCAGAACCAGGUGGAUCGCUAACCUCCGCAUCGGCAAGGCUGUGACGCUUACAGUGACUGUUUGUUCACGGCAUUUUGCACGGGAUAAUUUCUCCUUACCAGAUGUAGCAUGUCAAAGACAGCGGCUGAAAAAAAAUGCAGUACCAACUGAAAACCUGCCAAGGACGUCAUGUUAUGAUGAGAACAAGGAUGCUCAUAUGAAAGAGCUUUCACUGACAAGACUUCGCCGACGUGUGUAUCGGUCAGCCAGAAAUGAAUCAAGCAAAGAAACUGUUGCCUCCCCAUUAGAAGCAAAGGUGUUGCCCCAUGCACCUGUCAGCACGACCACCAUGGUAAAUUGGCUGCCUGCAACUUGUGCACACAUUGCUUCACCACUAAUUCCUUGGGAUUAAACUCUGACAUUGCAGGACGAUCUCCCAUCCCCUGACCGCAACAGCAUGGACCAAAUAAGUGACAAAGGAAAUAUGGACGAUUUCCCAUCCCCUAACAGCAUGGACCAAAGCCUUGCAAACACCAUAAGGGACAAGGACAUAGCAAAUAUGGCAAUUUAUUUUUUUCUAUAUAUUUGUGAUGUGGUAGCUGUCUUUACCUAGCCGGCAGCAUGUUUUCUGGAUUAACUUCGUGAAAGGAUUGUGGUGUGUGAUGGGUGCAAAUUAACUGAUGCAAAAAGCCUGGCUUUCCUACUUCCAACAUUGAAUUUAAUACAUUGACGUGCAUUAUUGGAAUGACAAAAAGAAGCUGCAUUUCACGUCAGAUAUGUCAGACAUUACAACUCUUGCUUUUGUUUUGUGACAGGAAUGUGCUUGCCAACCUGGCCUCCGGACAUUAAUGGCAGAGUACUCAAGAGAAGAAAAAGACGUGGCAAAUUUCCUACUAGAAAUGGCUUCACGGACAAGGCUUACAGAAAGCAAGGCUGCCCAAGUGACAUCGGGUACUUUUCCACAGAAGUUUGUGAACACGAUAAAUAGUAGCAACGUAAAUACAUUCACAGGCCUGCCAUCAUUCGAUGUUCUGAAUGCUCGUGUGACGUGCUACACAAAAAUUCAUCCACUUUCAGGACGGCACCAGUUAUGUGUAAAAACAAUUGCAUUGACAUUGGUGAAAUUGAAGCAUAUUUCCACUGCAUUCUUGAGUCACCUUUUUAACUGUUCUCUAACUACAUGUAGCAACAUAAUUGCAGAGACUGCUCAGUUGAUGUGUGGAAUUUUAAAAGUAACUGUGGCUGUGCCACCAAAAGAUGAAUUCCAGUGGCACGUUUGCAUAUUCGGCAUUAGGUGAUUCACCUGAAGUCGUGCCAUGGCUGGCGAUAUUGCAAGUAGCCUGUACUGCAUAGAGGCAUUUGUGCGUGUGACCUUGGCUCCAUCAAAGCGUGUCGGCCUUGAGAGUAAGUG